UACGAAGGGGGCUAGCGUUGCUCGGAAUCACUGGGCGUAAAGGGUGCGUAGGCGGGUCUUUAAGUCUGGGGUGAAAUCCCGGAGCUCAACUCCAGAACUGCCUUUGAUACUGAAGAUCUUGAGUUCGGGAGAGGCGAGUGGAAUUCCUGGUGUAGCGGUGAAAUGCGCAGAUAUCGUAAGGAAGACCAGUGGCGAAGGCGGGUCUCUGGACAGUUCCUGACGCUGAGACGCGAAAGCGUGGGGAGCGAACAGG
RNAcentral lists this ribosomal RNA (253 nucleotides) under uncultured bacterium. Its description in RNAcentral is "partial 16S ribosomal RNA". It matches the Rfam family "Bacterial small subunit ribosomal RNA", at positions 524 to 776 of the family's 1533-position model. The record is from RNAcentral.